GACAGAGGGGGCAAGCGUUGCUCGGAAUUACUGGGCGUAAAGGGCGCGUAGGCGGGAUGGCAAGUCGGUCGUGAAAUCCCUCGGCUCAACCGAGGAACGUCGACCGAUACUGCUGUUCUUGAGGAUUGCAGAGGAGACUGGAAUUCCCGGUGUAGCGGUGAAAUGUGUAGAGAUCGGGAGGAACACCGGUGGCGAAGGCGGGUCUCUGGGCAAUUCCUGACGCUGAGGCACGAAAGCCAGGGGAGCAAACAGG
Molecule: ribosomal RNA, 253 nt
Filed under: uncultured bacterium
Lineage: Bacteria
Description: partial 16S ribosomal RNA
Rfam family: Bacterial small subunit ribosomal RNA
Source: RNAcentral